CCUCAAGGUUUGUGGAACGUAUCUUUAAUGGCGCCAUACAAGUUCAACACACGGUAACCGGUUGGCAACUGAUGGUGUGUGUAUUGAUCACCCUUGCCUUGACUCUACACAGUGAGAAAUAGUCACAUAACAUCAGCAAAAGGUGAUCAUUGACAUUGUUAACAGACCAACUAGAAGCAGAAGUUAACAGUUCAACCAGUAGCAGAAGUUAACAGUUCAACCAGUAGCAGAAGUUAACAGUUCAACCUGUAGCAGAAGUUAACAGUUCAACCAGUAGCUGAACUAACUAAAUAGCAAACAUCCGCCAUUAU
Molecule: long non-coding RNA, 311 nt
Organism: Physella acuta
Lineage: Eukaryota; Metazoa; Mollusca; Gastropoda; Physidae
Source: RefSeq, a predicted model, not a curated record